GCCCGGCUAGCUCAGUCGGUAGAGCAUGAGACUCUUAAUUUCAGGGUCGUGGGUUCGAGCCCCAUGUUGGGCG
RNAcentral lists this transfer RNA (73 nucleotides) under Petromyzon marinus (sea lamprey). Its description in RNAcentral is "tRNA-Lys (CTT) (tRNA-Lys-CTT-6-1)". It matches the Rfam family "tRNA". From Rfam's summary of the family: Transfer RNA (tRNA) molecules are approximately 80 nucleotides in length. The record is from RNAcentral. RNAcentral also lists the same sequence under 1 other name. Lineage: Eukaryota; Metazoa; Chordata; Hyperoartia; Petromyzontiformes; Petromyzontidae.